CCUACGGGUGGCAGCAGUGAGGAAUAUUGGUCAAUGGACGAGAGUCUGAACCAGCCAAGUAGCGUGAAGGAUGACUGCCCUAUGGGUUGUAAACUUCUUUUAUAUGGGAGUAAAAUGUUCCACGUGUGGGGUUUUGUGUGUAGCAUAUGAAUAAGGAUCGGGUAACGCCGUGCCAGCGGCCGCGGUAAUACGGAGGAUCCGAGCGUUGUCCGGAUUGAUUGGGUGUAAAGGGAGCGUAGGUGGAUUGUUAAGUCAGUUGUGAAAGUUUGCGGCUCAACCGUAAAAUUGCAGUUGAAACUGGCAGUCUUGAGUACAGUAGAGGUGAGCGGAAUUCGUGGUGUAGCGGUGAAAUGCUUAGAUAUCACGAAGAACUCCGAUUGCGAAGGCAGCUCACUGGACUGCAACUGACACUGAGGCUCGAAAGUGUGGGUAUCAAACAGGAUUAGAUACCCUAGUAGUC
This 460-nucleotide ribosomal RNA is filed under the name uncultured bacterium. RNAcentral's name for it is "partial 16S ribosomal RNA". It matches the Rfam family "Bacterial small subunit ribosomal RNA", at positions 338 to 795 of the family's 1533-position model. The record is from RNAcentral.